Symphalangus syndactylus (siamang) is the source of this 450-nucleotide long non-coding RNA. RefSeq lists it as uncharacterized. NCBI's taxonomy places the organism in Eukaryota, Metazoa, Chordata, Mammalia, Primates, Hylobatidae. The record is from RefSeq and is a predicted model, not a curated record.
UAUCCCGCUCGUCGAAGUGCUCCAGCUCCAUGUCUCUGCCGAAGGACAUGAUGGACUUCAGGUAGGACCUACGAGCCCCAGAAACAAAAGCAGACACACAUAUUGAUUAAACUGACCUCUGAUCCCUUCAGAAUGGCUAAAAUUUCACACCUGAAACCAUGGCUAGAGAUUUGGUACUCCAGAAAUGAAGUGGAAGAAAGCAAUAUUUAUUGAAGGUCUAGGAGGUACCUGACACUAUUACUCAUCAACCAGUUGUAUAAUACGCCAAAAAUUCUCUUCUAAACCUCAUAUUAAUCCAACAAGGUUCUGAUCCACUAAAGAGAAAGGAAAAGAUCUUUACACUCCCUUUUCCAAGAAAUCUUCUGCUUCUGCAGGAAGGUCCACCUGAAAACAGAGGGCCCAUAACACUCGUUGGGAAGCACCGACAGACAUCCCAGACUCUCCUCAUCC